This is a long non-coding RNA of Gekko japonicus, 391 nucleotides long. RefSeq lists it as uncharacterized. Lineage: Eukaryota; Metazoa; Chordata; Lepidosauria; Squamata; Gekkonidae. The record is from RefSeq and is a predicted model, not a curated record. The transcript is spliced from 2 exons.
AUUGAUGAUCUUGCCAACUUGGUAGAAAAUACUGAUGACAAGCUGCGCAGCCAAACCAGACGUGUGAAGAUGGUCGACAAAAAGUCAGCUUCCUGUGGGAUGAUGGUGGUGAUCGUGUUGCUGCUGAUUGCGAUUGUCGUUGUUGCUGUGUGGCCUACCAAGUAGCCACUGGAGGUAUCACUUGGCAGCAGCAUAUUAACAGCCCUCCAAGGCAAGGACUGCUCCAUCUCACUGUGGCCGAUUCCCAUGGACUUGGCUGCAUCUGCCCAGUUGUGGGUACCCUGACAGAUGCACUUGUCAGAUGGAAGAUUUCCUUUCACACAAGUCUGUCUCGUUGGACUUCAUAUUUUCACAAAAGUGACUGGAAGGAAAUUGUUCUCCUAAUGAAGAU